GGCUUAUUGAAGAUAAUUUUAAGUYUGGCCUGCCCACUGAGCAUUUAAAUGGCCGCGGUAAAUUGACCGUGCAAAGGUAGCAUAAUCAUUAGUUUUUUAAUUGAAAGCUUGAAUGAAGGGUUUGAUGAGAAAAUGGCUGUCUCUUUUAAAUUUUAAUUAGAAUUUUAUUUUUAAGUUAAAAAGCUUAAAUAUUCAUGGAAGACGAGAAGACCCUAUAGAGUUUAAUAUUUAAUAGAUUUAGUAAAAAAGAAAUUAUGGUAAGUUUUAUAAAUAUUUGGUUGGGGUGAUGGAAAAAUUAAAUAAACUUUUUUUUGGUUUGAACAUUAAUAUGUGGAUAUUUGAUCUUAGAGUUUAGAUAGUAAGAAUAAAUUACCUUAGGGAUAACAGCGUAAUUUUUUUGAGAGUUCUUAUCGGAAAAAAAGAUUGCGACCUCGAUGUUGGAUUAAAAUUAAUAGUUGGUGAAGAAGCUAAGGAAAUUAGGUCUGUUCGACCUUUGAAAUUUUACAUGAUCUGAGUUUAAACCGGUGUGAG
Molecule: ribosomal RNA, 531 nt
Filed under: Trigonopterus sp. 199 AR-2022a
Lineage: Eukaryota; Metazoa; Arthropoda; Insecta; Coleoptera; Curculionidae
Description: partial large subunit ribosomal RNA
Source: RNAcentral